Molecule: long non-coding RNA, 548 nt
Filed under: Cyanistes caeruleus (blue tit)
Lineage: Eukaryota; Metazoa; Chordata; Aves; Passeriformes; Paridae
Description: lncRNA (ENSCCEG00000015852.1)
Source: RNAcentral
CUUGAAUUCUGUUAAGCUGAAUGGGAAAAGCCUUCAAAUUCAUAUGCUACAGCGUAUAAAGGAAAAGACCCCCAAAGCUUGAUUUGAUGCAUCUCAUACAAAUCCACCCCAUGGAUCUGACAACUGCCUGCGAUUCUUUCUAAUUGAAGCAGAGAUCAUUGAAAAGUCUCAGAAGACAAAACUUACCUGAAUUAAGAUGUCAGAUAUCCUAGCAUUUGGGAAUUAUGCCAGUGGUAAUAGAGUUGUAGUAUUUUCUGCUGUGGACACAGAAGAAAAACUCCCAGAGAAAAACACCAGAGCCAGCCAAUAAAGUUCAUCAUCCUUUUCACAGUCAUACCUGCACACUUCUUUCCAGUUCACCUCCUGCAGGACAACUUCAGAUAACUCCUGAAACUCAGGUCAGUCUGCCCCUCCAGAAUUAAAGUGCCUCUGGUUUGAGAUGAACAAAAUUCAACUCAGCAUAAACAGCAACUCUUGGAGUUGUUACUGUGUUACCUUAAUUUCCUUACUGGAGAAGUAAAAAUACAAUAAUGUAUGGAAUGUUUGCA